AUGGUGUCCGGGGCGAGGCACACCUCCACGUCCACGCUGCCGUCCCCGGCCUGGCCCGGGAACGCCGACAUCUUGCCGUCGAACUUGUUCGCCCGCCCGCUCCGCACGGCGAGCGCCCUGCCCCAGCCGAAGUCGUUGCCGUCGUACAUCGGGAACCGCGGGGAGCUGCCCAUGGUGAGCGCCGCGCCGUCGGGGUUCCCCAGCGGGAAGCACCGGGGCGCCGCCUCCCAGUCCGCCGCGGCCUUCCGGAUGGCGCCGUCCUCGUGCGCCACCACGGUGGCGUGCAGCCUGGCCGCCGCCCACCCGAGGUCGUGGGAAGCCAGCUCGGCCACCGUUGCCGUCGUUGCCACGCUCUGGAUGGCGUUGCCGAAGUAG
Molecule: ribosomal RNA, 375 nt
Filed under: Triticum aestivum (bread wheat)
Lineage: Eukaryota; Viridiplantae; Streptophyta; Magnoliopsida; Poales; Poaceae
Description: partial small subunit ribosomal RNA
Source: RNAcentral